This 734-nucleotide ribosomal RNA is filed under the name Ammonia sp. genotype T6. Its description in RNAcentral is "SSU rRNA". It matches the Rfam family "Eukaryotic small subunit ribosomal RNA", at positions 1311 to 1768 of the family's 1831-position model. Lineage: Eukaryota; Foraminifera; Rotaliida; Rotaliidae. The record is from RNAcentral.
UAGUAUACGCGUAGACUCAUGCGGUAGUGACCCCCCUUCACAGGGCGCGUGUCGCACGUAUGUUAUACGCACAGGUCUCCGAUAGCAACGAACGUGACCGUACUCUAUUGUUGCAGCGACAAUACCCUUAAACGGGUAUUACCGCUGCUUAGCGAGAUUCGUCUUGCAUUAAACUAUAGAGACCGCUGUUUCUUCUUUAAACCAGAGGAAGGAUACGGCAAUAACAGGUCUGUGAUGCCCUCAGAUGUUCCGGGCUGCACACGUGCUACAAUGAUCAUUGCACUGUGCAUCUAACCCAAUGUGCGCGGACGCCGCCGUGCGUAUAUACUUUAUUGUGUAUGCGUAUCGUGCGUGCGACCGCGCCGAACCUGCUUCGAAAGUAAACAUUUCCAGCGGGUAAUCCAUUAGAAGUAAUGACUCGCAUAGACCAUGGCACACUAUAUGUACCCGCGGGUUCUACCCGGCUCGCCUUUGUGUGAGUGCAGUGCGUAGCUCGUUGUUUGGUACGUGCCACUCCGUAUUAAUUCAUACGUGGGGAUAGAUCAUUGUUUAAUUGUUGGUCUCGGUCUUAACUGGGAAUGCCUUGUACGGGUCUUUGGUUCAACAUACCACCCGGAAUACGUCCCUGCCCUUUGUACACGCCGCCCGUCGCUCUUACCGAUGGAUUAUACUAUGAAUCUAUAGGACUGCCAAAGUUGCUCUCGGGCGCUUAGUGGAAAUAUAUAUGAAUAGUG